Molecule: long non-coding RNA, 2138 nt
Filed under: Homo sapiens (human)
Lineage: Eukaryota; Metazoa; Chordata; Mammalia; Primates; Hominidae
Description: non-protein coding lnc-NETO1-6:1
Source: RNAcentral
UUAGGGCUGGUUUUGAUGAUUAAAGAAGAAAAAAAAUGGAGAGUAAAAUAGAUGUAGAAGACAUAACAACCAAAAUUAAUACUUGUGCUUAUUUAAAUGCUGAAUUAAACAAAUAUGGUAUAAGAAGAAUAUUUUGUUUGAUUCAAUUGGAAACUUUCAGAUAUGAAGCAGAUAUUAAAUACUAUUCAAAUAAUACUAAGUGAUUAAGGUCAAAAUUGUUAGGUUAAUUCCAUAUUGUUAUGUAAAAUUUUAAUAUGAUUUUCAUUUAGGACAACAUACUGGUUUCAGUGGAGAGGUGGUAUGAUAUCUGGAAUUUGCUUUAAAAUCCUGCAGCAAAAAUUAAUUAAAAUAUAUAAAUAAGUAAAUACAAUAAAAACAAGUGGGGUGAUUAGAAAAGAUUGAAAGCAUGUUCACAAUGAUUAAAGCUUGUUUCUAGAUUUGUGGGAGUUCACUAUAAUAUUCUCUCUACUUUCUUUGUUUCAAAAUUUCCAUAAUAAACAAUUAGAAAAAAGUAUUCACGUAUCUAUUUGUUACCUACAUCAAUAAUUUUCUCUUCCUUAUGAGUUUACUCCUUUUAGCUUAUAAACAAUCUGCCGGCUCCCCCACAUAAUGAAACAACAGCACUUAUCUGCUUCUGUAAAAACAAAAAAGUGCUUUAAAACAGGUAGGUGUCUGUAUUUGCUUUCUCCUAUUUUCUAUUCCCCAUUGUCUCUCAAACCCACUACGGUCAGGAGGAUUUUCCACCACUUCACUGAAGCCAUGCUUGUCAGUUUUACCGAAAACUCUCAUAUGGGACAUUUCCCAGUUCACUCUACAAUUCUUAGGUCUUACGCCAAUGAACAGCAGUAUUUGACCCAGUAGAAUGUCGUUUCUUCCUCAAUAUACUUUCAUCUCUCGGUUUCCUUUAUACUGUGCUGCUUUGGUUUUCCUCGUACCUCACUGAUCACUUUUGCCUUUGUUGCUGAGCUCUCCUAUGGAUGCUGACCUUGGGGAGCCUAGCAAUGGCUUUAAAUGUCAUGUCCAUGCUGAUGAUUGCCAAGUACAUCUCAUCAACUCGCCCCUCUCACGAACGUCUGAAAAGCUUACCUGUACUUUCCCUCCUCGCUCCCUCUAGUAUACUCUGAAUGAAAAAGUUACAGAAAUCUGUUUUUAAUAUAAUCUGAUUAAUAUAAAAUCUUCAUUCAAAAACCUAUGGAUUUGUUUCAUUGAGAGGCAAAGCCCAAGCCCUAGAUUGAGAUCCGGGUCCUUCUGUCUGUGGGCUUCCCUCCUGUUAAGACUGAACCGUGUAAAAGUGCGUGGUCCCAGCUUGGGGAUUUUAUAUUGACCUUGUUAAAAGAAAAUCCUUAGCCAAAUUAAAUUUAACAGAGAUUAAUUGAGCAAAGAACACUUCACCAAUCCAGCAGCCUCUGGAGCCAGAGUAUGCUCAGAGAGACUCCAGUACAGCCAUGUGGUGGAAGAGGAUUCAUGGACAGGAAAAGCAAAAAGUCAUAUAGAAUAACUGGUGACAGCUCAGCUUUUCCCUUGUUGGAACACAGUUUGAACAGAUGGUCCCUUUUGAUUGGCCAAAGCUCAGUGAUUGGCACAACCUCAGUUACCGUCUGCUUACAUCUCCAUUUAGGUUACGGUUCACUGUGUACAGAGAAACCUUUAGGCUGGACUUAAAAUAUAUAAGGUGGCAGUUUUAGGAGAAAGUUAAUUUAACACCCUAUAAUGCAAAAUUAUUGAUGCAAAUUAUAUACGACACUAUCUUUAAUAUUGAACAAUCGAAUUACUUUUUUUAUUUUUAACACUAAGUUUUACAUGAGUUAAUCACAAGGUUCAGAAGACUGAAUACUUUUCCAAAGUGAGUAUACAACUGAGUCAAAAUUUUAAUCCAGGUCUUUCUCUGACUCUGGGGUGCUUAUUCUUACCAUUAAAGUACACUGCUUCCAAUGCAAUGAUGGAGAAAUUGGAUUCCCCAUUGUUCAUAGACAUUUGUAAAUAUGUAGAAAGAUCUCCACUAUUUUCAUUUUUACUAAUAUUGCACAGUAAGUUUUAUUCACUAUUACUAGUAGAAAUUAUUUCCCAGUGCUAAUGUCUUGUCCUAAUCACAUUUUAGAUUUUACAAACUAAUACUGAAAAUGGUUUUGUCUGAAUUC